CCUACGGGUGGCAGCAGUGAGGAAUAUUGGUCAAUGGGCGCGAGCCUGAACCAGCCAAGCCGCGUGAGGGAUGAAGGUUCUAUGGACCGUAAACCUCUUUUACAAGGGAAUAAAGUGUGGGACGUGUCUUAUUUUGUAUGUAUCUUAUGAAUAAGGAUCGGCUAACUCCGCGCCAGCAGCCGCGGUAAUACGGAGGAUCUGAGCGUUAUCCGGAUUUAUUGGGUUUAAAGGGUGCGUAGGCGGCAUUUUAAGCCAGCGGUGAAAGUCUGUGGCUCAACCAUGGAAUUGCCGUUGAAACUGGGGGGCUUGAGUAUGUGUGAGGCAGGCGGAAUGCGUGGUGUAGCGGUGAAAUGCUUAGAUAUCACGCAGAACCCCGAUUGCGAAGGCAGCCUGCCAAGCCAUGACUGACGCUGAUGCACGAAAGCGUGGGGAUCAAACAGGAUUAGAUACCCCAGUAGUC
RNAcentral lists this ribosomal RNA (460 nucleotides) under uncultured bacterium. RNAcentral's name for it is "partial 16S ribosomal RNA". It matches the Rfam family "Bacterial small subunit ribosomal RNA", at positions 338 to 795 of the family's 1533-position model. The record is from RNAcentral.